GAUGAUUUCACUUCACAUGAUUCCUUCAAGCUCUGUCCAAGAUGAAGUGAAGAAGUGGGGCGGGUCUCUGGGGAGGUGUAGUUCUAGGACACAUUGGUGAAGUUGUCUGCCCAGGAGAGUCAGAUUGGCAUCAUGGUAGCAUCUGCAACUCAAUGGCUGAAAAUGCACUAAGAUAUAAGACAGAACACAUUGUUUUCAUCAUCAGGAACCUAAAGGUCAAAAGGAAUACCAAAGGAAACCACCUGGGACAGCAACAAGACAGGACUAGAACGACUUCAGGAACCCACCAAAUCACCAGUGAGUGCAAACAUGUGUGUCUCGUGGAAAUAGAGGAGCCUAGGGGGAGAUAAAGUGGCUGGUAAUAGUCCGGCAGUUUACCAGUUGAGACACCAUCUCCAGUCUGUUUCACCAACAAAAAGACAGCUGAAGGGAGGAAAGGACUCCCCUAAGACUCACUAAAUGCAACUGUGAGUCUCCAUUGCUACUGCCCUCAGAAGCUGGAGCAGCAGGGGGGUGGGGUUCAGGGGGAGGCCCUGGGCUGACACCAGGAGACAGAGAACUAACCAGGAAACUCAGGAGAAUAUCUAUACCUCAGUGGCCUAGCAUUGGGGUUGUGAAAGUCUUUUUGCAUAACCACUGGAUUAUCUCUGCCCCACCCUGCUUUAUCUUUUUGAGAGGAGUCAGUGAUUAAGCUAAGAAGACUACUUACAGUUUAAAAGCCCUCAGGCUCCCAUAGCCUACAGGGAAGAAAAAGAACAAAAGAGGUGUUUAAGCCACUGAGCUCCAACUCAGGGAUUAAAAUAAUAUUGGAACAACUGUCAAUUAACACAACUGUGAACCCUUUAAUUACCUUACUUAGACACAAGUCAAUUCAGGCAAAAGUGAUCAGGAAUUUGAAAAGUACUGAGAGAGGGACCUGAUAAUAUAAAAUGGUUAAACCAACAGGAAGAAAUAUUGGAGAAAUGAAUCAGGACACGAAUCCAGCUAAAAGCUUCCCAAAGGUUGAAGCACAAAAUAAUGAGGUCAACAUCCAAACACUAGUUAAGGAAAUAAUCACAAGAGUGAGUAAAGAGUUUGAAAUAAUUGUCAUCAGAAAUGCAGAAACAACAAAUGAGACCCUGAAAGAAAACACUAAUUAUCUCAAGGUUAUUAGAGAGCUGAAAGCUAAAAUAGUUGAGCUAAGAACACAACUAGUUGAACAAGCUAAAACAGUAUCAGAACAGGGUAACAAAAUAGAUGAACUCCAGAAAACAACAGAGGGGAGAGAGAAUAGAAUAAAUGAGGCUGAAGACAGAAUUAGCAAGAUCCAGGACAAAUUAGGGACAACUAAAAAAGAAGUAAGAGAUCCCAAAAAGAGGUUAAUGGAUACUGAAAACAGAGACCUAUGAGAUGACUUCAAAAGAAAUAAUAUACGCAUUAUUGGCUUACCAGAGGAAGAAAGAGAGGGAGGGGAAGAAAGCAUUCUUCAGUCCAUAAUAGCUGAGAACUUCUCUAGUCUAGACAACAUCAAAGACAUAAAGGUUCAAGAAGCCCAGAGGGUCCCAAACAUAGCUAACCCAGACUUAAAGACACCAAGACACAUAUUUAGAAUGGAAAGGAAUAAGGAUAAAGAAAGGAUCCUGAAGGCUGCAAGAGAAAAGCAAAGAGUCACCUACAGAGGACAACCUGUAAAGUUAGCAGCAGAUUUCUCCACACAAACACUACUGGCCAGAAGAGAAUGGCAAGAUCUCUAUUGAGUGAUCAAUAAGAAAGGCUUUCAACCAAGAAUACUGUAUCCUGGAAGACUGUCAUUCAGGCUAGAUCAAGGCAAAAAAAAAAAAAAAACCUUCUUAGACAAGCAACAGUUGAAAGAAUCAACUAUCAACAAGCCUGCCCUGAAAGAAGUUCUAACAGGUCUCCUAUAAACAGUCAGACCACCAUAAAUAUACCAUAGGUCAGAACACUCUAAAGAUCUACAAGAAUGGCAUUAAAAUAUCUUCAAUCUAUAUAAUAUCAAUAAAUGUCAAUGGCCUGAAUUCACCUACUAAAAGGCACAGAGUAGGAAGAUGGAUCAGAAAACAGAACCCAACAAUAUGCUGUCUACAGAAUACCCACCUAACUCAACAAGAAAAACAGAUUCAAAGUGAAAGGAUGGAAAGCUAUCAUACAAGCCAAUGGCCCACAAAAAGGGGCAGAAACAGCUAUUCUCAUAUCUGACAUGAUAGUCUUUAAAAUCAAUAAGAUUUAAAAAGAUAGGGAUGAACACUACUUAAUGCUCUGUGGAUCAGUCAAUCAACAGGACUUAGGGAGCAGGCGGUAGCACAGCAGGUUAUGCACACAUGAAACAAAGUGCAAGAACUGCCAUAAAGAUGCCAGUUCGAGCCCCUGGCUCCCCACCUGCAGGGGAGUCACUUCACAAGUGGUGAAGCAGGUCUGCAGGUGUCUCUUUCUCUUCCCCUCUCUGUCUUUCCGCCCUCUCUCCAUUUCUCUCUGUCCUAUCCAACAAUGACGAUCAAUAACCAUAACAAUAAAACAACAAGGGCAACAAAAUAGAAUAAAUAAAUAAAUAAAUAAAUAAAUGGUAUAAUAAAAAAAUCAAUCAAGAGGACUUAACAAUUAUUAACAUCUAUG
This is a long non-coding RNA of Erinaceus europaeus (western European hedgehog), 2610 nucleotides long. RefSeq lists it as uncharacterized. NCBI's taxonomy places the organism in Eukaryota, Metazoa, Chordata, Mammalia, Eulipotyphla, Erinaceidae. The record is from RefSeq and is a predicted model, not a curated record. The transcript has 3 exons.